AUUGAACGCUGGCGGCAUGCUUUACACAUGCAAGUCGAACGGCAGCGCGGGCUUCGGCCUGGCGGCGAGUGGCGAACGGGUGAGUAAUACAUCGGAACGUGCCCAGUAGUGGGGGAUAGCUCGGCGAAAGCCGGAUUAAUACCGCAUACGACCUGAGGGUGAAAGCGGGGGAUCUUCGGACCUCGCGCUAUUGGAGCGGCCGAUGGCAGAUUAGCUAGUUGGUGGGGUAAAGGCCUACCAAGGCGACGAUCUGUAGCUGGUCUGAGAGGACGACCAGCCACACUGGGACUUAGACACGGUCCAGACUCCUACGGGAGGCAGCAGUGGGGAAUUUUGGACAAUGGGCGAAAGCCUGAUCCAGCAAUGCCGCGUGUGUGAUGAAGGCCUUCGGGUUGUAAAGCACUUUUGGCGGGAACGAAAAGGACUGUGCCAAUACCACGGUUCGAUGACGGUACCCGCAGAAUAAGCACCGGCUAACUACGUG
RNAcentral lists this ribosomal RNA (484 nucleotides) under uncultured bacterium. RNAcentral's name for it is "partial 16S ribosomal RNA". It matches the Rfam family "Bacterial small subunit ribosomal RNA", at positions 30 to 507 of the family's 1533-position model. The record is from RNAcentral.